GAAUGAAAUGAUGAUUUAUGUUUGUUUCCCGAUUGGUUGGAUAGCCGAGAUGAUGGCAUCUUCCAGUGCAUUAGCUCUAUCUGAUCAUUC
This 90-nucleotide small nucleolar RNA is filed under the name Manihot esculenta (cassava). RNAcentral describes it as "Small nucleolar RNA Z102/R77". It matches the Rfam family "Small nucleolar RNA Z102/R77". From Rfam's summary of the family: Z102 and R77 and are members of the C/D class of snoRNA which contain the C (UGAUGA) and D (CUGA) box motifs. Most of the members of the box C/D family function in directing site-specific 2'-O-methylation of substrate RNAs. The record is from Rfam by way of RNAcentral. Lineage: Eukaryota; Viridiplantae; Streptophyta; Magnoliopsida; Malpighiales; Euphorbiaceae.